Molecule: ribosomal RNA, 500 nt
Filed under: uncultured bacterium
Lineage: Bacteria
Description: partial 16S ribosomal RNA
Rfam family: Bacterial small subunit ribosomal RNA
Source: RNAcentral
AUUGAACGCUGGCGGCAUGCCUUACACAUGCAAGUCGAACGGCAGCACGGGUGCUUGCACCUGGUGGCGAGUGGCGAACGGGUGAGUAAUAUACCGGAACGUACCUUAUUGUGGGGGAUAACGCAGCGAAAGCUGCGCUAAUACCGCAUAAUCCCUAAGGGGGAAAGCGGGGGACCGUAAGGCCUCGCGCAAUUAGAGCGGCCGAUACCUGAUUAGCUAGUUGGUGAGGUAAAGGCUCACCAAGGCAACGAUCAGUAGCUGGUCUGAGAGGAAGAUCAGCCACACUGGGACUGAGACACGGCCCAGACUCCUACGGGAGGCAGCAGUGGGGAAUUUUGGACAAUGGGGCAACCCUGAUCCAGCAAUGCCGCGUGAGUGAAGAAGGCCUUCGGGUUGUAAAGCUCUUUUGUCAGGGAAGAAACAGCAGCUCUAACACAGUUUGCGAAUGACGGUACCUGAAGAAUAAGCACCGGCUAACUACGUGCCAGCAGCCGCCGUAA